Long non-coding RNA from Oncorhynchus keta (chum salmon), 309 nucleotides. RefSeq lists it as uncharacterized. The transcript is spliced from 3 exons. The record is from RefSeq and is a predicted model, not a curated record. Lineage: Eukaryota; Metazoa; Chordata; Actinopteri; Salmoniformes; Salmonidae.
GUAACUCAGAAGUCUCCUACUGAGUAACUCAGAAGUCUCCGACUGAGUAACUCAGAAGUCUCCGACUGAGUAACUCAGAAGUAUCCGACUGAGAAACUUGGAAGUCUCCGACUGAGAAACUUGGAAGUCUCCGACUGAUAAACUUGGAAGUCUCCGACUGAGUAACUCAGAAGUCUCCGACUGAGUAACUCAGAAGUCUCCGACUGAGUAACUCAGAAGUCUCCGACUGAGUAACUCAGAAGUCUCCGACUGAAUAACUCAGAAGUAUCCGACUGAGAAACUUGGAAGUCUCCGACUGAGUAACUCAGA